Musca vetustissima is the source of this 1814-nucleotide long non-coding RNA. RefSeq lists it as uncharacterized. The record is from RefSeq and is a predicted model, not a curated record. NCBI's taxonomy places the organism in Eukaryota, Metazoa, Arthropoda, Insecta, Diptera, Muscidae. The transcript has 5 exons.
UGGCUCUGUCCGCAUGCCUCUGCUGUAGAUAUUAGGCAACCUCUCGGCCGGCAGUAUUGUGUGAGUUUGGACUCCGGCGACUGGUGGUGGUACCGAUAAGCUGGUUGGUGGUUGUGCUGGUGCACCACUUGAUGUGAACCCUGGUGGCGGUUGGCUAAAAGGACCAAGUGACAACGGUCUAGGAUCGUGAAUCGGUGGUGGAUUUACUCGCUCCGGAUAUGGUAGUGUGUAACCCCUUGCUAAAUUAGGCUGCUGAGACGUUAAGCCUGACGCCAAUGCAUGUGAAGACAGAAUGACUGACUCCCGGGAUGGGCGCGCUGGUGCAUGUGGUGCCGCUGCUGGCAUCGCCAAGCCGGCUUGUGAAAAUACUUGAUUAGUGCCGUCAUUGUCUCCCAACAACGAACGCUUGGCCGCUUCAGCAAUUCGAGGUAUCAGCGCUCUCAAUCUUUCUUCUUCCUGUUGACGGUACUGCAAUUGGGACAGGGCGAUGGCAGAAUUAAUAAUUUCCCUGACUCCUGCGCUGACUGCUGGAUCUGCUGGCGGGAUAACUGGUCUAUUCUGCAACCCGGUCAAAACACUAUAGUUUGGCGAGGCAACGCUUCCAUGUGACCAAAAAGACGUGUUAAACGAGUUAGCGGCCUCUUGCAUGCUUAAUGGAACUGGUGGCGGUGCCGAUGAAUUGGACAUUGAUGAUGAAACACCUUGAGCUGGGACGUCCCCAUGUGCUAAAUGUGCGAUAUGAGAAGCAAUGGGACCACUAUGCGCGGCAGUUGUAACCUGUUGUGCGUUAGAAGGUGCGCUGUGAACCGCGGUAACAACACUGCUUACGGCUGUAGAUUCGGAAGUGGUUACCACCCCAUUUUGCCCUAAUAUCGGUCUACCUGCCAAACCUGCACUCGCAGCUCUAGUAAGAGGCAUAUUGCUUUUUGAUAUAACCAAAUUAGUAAACAAAAAAAAUCAGAAAAAGCGAUAAAAAAUCAAAAAGAAAUCUGUCAAAAGAAUUUGCUCGAAAGUAAACCACACGGUGGUUUGAAUUAAAGAAAAAAAAAAUAAAAACAAUUGUGGUAAGUAAACUAAAAAAAUAAAUUCAAUGUAAUUCAGUUCUUUCACAAUUAAUUCACACUUUUCACUUUUACAAAUUCUAUUAUCCGGCAGAAUAAUUUUGAUGAAAAUAAACUGGAAAAAUUCAAAUAAUGUUAGGUGGUGGAUUUCUGGUCAAAAUAGUGGGAUUUGGUGAGCUACACUGGCAAAACUAGAAUUGAAAUGGACUGAAAAAUUAAAAUGGAACAGGCGGCUUACUCAGACCUCCCUUAAAAAAUUCCAUGACAAUACGACCAAUGGUCGGAAGCCAAAAUUGUCGCAGGACCGAAUGGAAACUCUAGGGCUUAACGGCGGGCACCCAGAGUGUAGAACCUUGACGGCAGCUUGUGACUAAGGCUUUUUCCCAAAACAUGAGGACGAACAAAGGAAUGUAGGUCGAUACCACAUUAAAUCGACGAUCUACACAAUGCCUGGUAACCUAACCUUGAAUUGAGCUCAGUUCAAUGUCGCGUACCUGCAUACCAACACAAAGAAAAACCGCGGAAUUUAAUUAUGUAGCUUAGUCGUCCGUCUGUCUGUCCGGAGUUAAAUAAGUUUCAGUGUCAAUUGGGAAUGAUACCAAGCCACGCUGGAGCAGCAAUGGCGUAAACUCUGCGCCUCCCUCGAUGGAUUGGAUGGGCGAUGGUGUGGCUUGUAGGCUCCAAUUCUUCAUGAAUUUUUAGGUUUAAGAUUUAUAUUCAUUGCUUUAGAAUUUUAGUCAAUUGUUUGGGUUU